RNAcentral lists this long non-coding RNA (3977 nucleotides) under Callithrix jacchus (white-tufted-ear marmoset). RNAcentral describes it as "lncRNA (ENSCJAG00000069666.1)". The record is from RNAcentral. Lineage: Eukaryota; Metazoa; Chordata; Mammalia; Primates; Cebidae.
AUGGGCUGGCUCUCCAUAACCCCUUUGCUCUUCACUCCUACUUCCUGGGGGAGGUGGCAGUGUGGGAGAGAAAGGAUUCCUUCUAGAGAACCAGGGAGUGUCAGCCAUGGAGCACCACUCCAGGCUCUCCAGCAGGCAUGGCAGUGGAAGCCUUCACCCAACCUUGACUCUGCCACUGGGAGACAUAGGCAGACACACGGAAGAAGUUUGGACGGCUUCGUGGAGAGGAAGCAUCUGCUAAGACCUCCACACCCUAGUUACCCAUGCUGCACGAUACGCCUUUCCUUUCUCCAAGCACUGUUAAUAACAAUCCCUUUGAUUAAAAAUGUAAAACAAUUACUCAAGGCUCUUACUUGAUUUCCUGACCACCUUGUCAGGUAGUUAUUGGAUGAGAUGAUGCCUGUGAAGGCACUUUGUCAUGGGACAGGUGUAAGGCAGGUGCGUGAGAGCCUUGUUUUACAACUGAUGUCAGGAAAGCACAGGGUAACUGCCUUGCGGUUACCUGCAGUUACCGUCAGGUUGGUUUAACACAGCAACUGAACCCAGGGCUUUGGAAACAGGCAGGUCCGAGGCUGAAUACUCGUCCUUUGUAUAACUGUGUUGUGCUGGGCACAGUGCUCAAAUUCUCUGAGCCUCUGUUUCCUCAUACAUAGACUAAAUGGUGACCCUGAGGUCGUGAAGAUGAAAGGAUAUUUUGAUGUUAGAACCCCGAGUUCAGUGCCUGGCACAUGGCGGUGGCCUGCAGCACUGGAGCCAUCUUACUUGGGCAAAGUUACCACAGCCACCUCCAUCAUGGAAUUUUUGCAUCUGCCUCUUGACUGUAAGUUAUUGGAAUAUCCUGGAACAGCAACAAUGAUAAAGAGAAUCAGACAUAAAAGGAAAAGUAGAGUUCCUCUAUCCUACUCCCAAAUCAACUUAUAGAUGAAGGUUUUGUAGCCCAGAGAAAGAGAGUAGUUUUUCUCAAACACACAGAUGUUUAGGAGGCAGCAACAGGGUGAUCAAUUGCCCUGGCACUGAAGGGUUGCACAGGGUUCAGGACUUUAAAAGCUAAAACCAGGACAAUCCUGGGCAAACCAAAAUAGGCUACUCACUCAAUGCAGUGACAAGAUAAGAUUUUGAUACCCUGAUUUCCAGCCAGACCAGCAGCCUUUUCAACCUAUGAAACAAAUGUUGAAUACCAAAUCCAUCUUCUUUCAGUAUCCAUUUUCUCCAAAACCUCUCCUACUGAUAUGUCUGGCCCCCACACUCUUCUAGAGCCCAGAGAAGAUGAAAGCAUUUCCCCCGACUCUCCACAGGUCUCACCUCCGCCCACCCCCUGGCCCUUCUUAGGCUCAUAGUCCUGGGUGAGACUUCUUUAGGGCUGCUGUGUGGACCAGGAGCUGGGUGAGCUUGCAUCUGUCUGCUGUUAGCCACUUGCCUCUGGGUGUGAUGCUUAGGCCACAUGGAGAAGAGGAAGAAUAAGAGAUAUUUGUGGGAGCCUGGGGUGAUCAUAGAGAAAAUGGGACAAGUGACAUCAGAUCAAAAGCAAAGUUGGGAGAUGGGUUGAGAAAAAGAGUAAAGGGUUGAGAUUGGUGGCGUGAAGUUCUAUAAGCAGCAUACCACAACUUCUUCCAGGACACAGGAAAGCAACAAAGAACUCAUCUCCAGAACAUAUAAAGAACUAUGAAUCAGUGAGAAAAAGACAAAUAAUACAUUAGAAAAAUAGACACCUUAGAAAAAUAGACAGAAGGCUUGCAAAAGGUAUCCAAGUGGUCAGCAAUACAUGGAAAGGUACAAAACUUUAGUCAACAGCGAAAUGCAAAUUAAAACCACACACACUUACCAAAACUAUAAAACUGAAACAUCAAGUGCUGGUAAGAACAUAGAGCAACUGGACCUUUCAUGCUCUGCUAGGAAGAGAAUGAACUGGUACAACUACUUUGGAAAAUUGAGCUGACUGCACACAUAUACCUCAUGAACUAGUAAUUCUUCUCUUUGUGUGCACCCAAACAGCAGUGAAUGCUUAUGUGCACCAAGCAGGGAUAAUGUUCACAGUGGUAUUAUUCACAAGAGCUUCAAACUAAAAAGAACUCAAAGAUCUAUAAAUAGGAUGAUGAAUAAAUAAUUGUGAUAUAAUUACAUCGUAGGGCAUAAUGAAAAUGAAUGACAUUGCCAUAUCUGCAAACGUGGAUUAGGUACAGACAUAGCACCCUCUUACUUCCUCUCUGGAGAAAUAACACCUUUUCUGUUUGUUCUGGGUCCCAUGCAGCACCGAGCCACCUGUUCCAGAACUUUAACAAAUUGACUCCUGCCAAUCUCCUCUCUUUCUGCAGCCUUUCACUUCAUUUUCAGGCCACUUAGUCCAUUUUUUUCCCCCUUUUGUCCUUGGUUCUCAAGACAGCCCAUUUGGGUGGAGCCCUAUUUGGUGACAAGUUGUCAGAACAGCUCAGGCCUUAGUUCUGUUGUGUGAUUUAGGCAACAAAAAAAGAAAAGGAAAAAAAAGAAAUUUGACUGGGGAAAUUAGAUGGAGGUGAUUGCAGCUAAAGUGCCUUUUAUUGAAGCUUUUGGAAAACGUAAAUGUCAUCAGUCUUGUCAGAGCCAGACACAGGAGAAAAUAACAGGACUCAAGGCGGCCAGCGUACAUGCUGGGACUGCACAAACUUAGAAUUAGCCUUCCUAUUUGUUAUUACUUUUUCCUUGUAGGUAGUGGGAGGGAAGGAGGAGGAGAGGAUAAGAUGAAUAGAGGGGGAGAGCAGGGCUCGGUGGGAACCUGGGUGUGAAAUGCCGAACCCGAACGGUGGUGGUGAUUUUUUCACUCCUCUAGACCAUGAAAAACAUCCCUGUGAUUUCUGAGCAACUGAGAUGAGAGUGGCCAAUAGUUGACAGCAUCAGCCUUGGCCUGGAAUUGGAGUUGAGGACAGUGGACUAGGCCGGGCUGGGAAGGCAGAUGUGAUGCUGGGAUGUGUGCUUUCAUCACAGCAGCUGCAGAAUGACCAAGUGUCCUGGCAACACUGGAGAUAACCCUCCAGGAAGGGCCUGCCCAUCAUUCAAAGACCACUGCAAAUCUGUGACACCUGAGACCUGGGUGAACUAUAAAGAAGACCAGAACGAGGCCUUGAACUAGAGCAUGUUGCCAAGAAUCUAGAACUAGGGCUCUGAGGAAGGGUGGGUGUCAGCUGUGGAUCUGUAACAGGAGAGAAAUCAAUACAUGGAAAUCAGUUGAAAGUUGAGUCUGAAACCAAUAGAUUAGUGGGUGAGAAGAAAGGACAGGUGACAUGUGAGUUAACCAGGAAUCUAUGCACAGAUUGAGGUUGGGGCAUAUCAGGUAUGACUCAGGGAGCAGAUCCUUGUUGCAAAGGUCCGGACUGGUGAUGGUCAGCUCUGGCAAGGGCAGGCAGGAGGCAGCAGGUGCUUUACAUUAGGAGGUGGAAGUUUGGGGAAGUGAAAUCGAGCCCCUUGGUUCUGGGCCAAGGCAGAGUCAGGGAACUCAGGUAGAACCCGGUUCGGGUUAUAGGGAACAAAGCAUGACCUUAAAAAGCAAAAUCUGGAAUCCAGUCUUGGAAGAGUAGAAUGUUCGAGGUUAGAGUGGAAGUCUAGUGGCAAUAUUACGUUAAAGAAGAUCUCUGAGACUAUAAUCAAAGCAUCCUCGCCUCUCUGAGGAUAAUAUGAACUCCGUGUUCCAUAGAGGGUUAGACUGUCUGGGAGUUGAGUAACUCUAGCUCCUAAGCUUGGUAGGAUGUGGGGAGCCAAACAGUUUAUUAUGUAAGAGCUUCGUCCAAACAGUUGAUUAUGUGAGUUGACUGUGUCUGGGCAGUGAACUCUAUCCAGAACAUACUGUGUUAAAUCUGAGCAAGCCAGACAACAGAGAGCUCUUUUUUUUUUUUUUUUUUUUUUUGAGACACAGUCUCCCCCUGUGCCUGUCCCCAGGCUGGAGUGCAGUGGCAGAAUCUCAGCUCACUGCAACCUCCACCUACCGGGUUCAAGCAGUUCUCCUGCCU